GAGCAGAGGAGAAAGAGAGAGCGGCGUAAAAGAGGAAAAGAAACGAAGAGAAAGGGGCUCGGAAGCGGCGUGUAGUAGAAGGUUGGGUAGCAUGGCUUAUUAGCAGUGAGGAAUAUUGGUCAAUAGCCUAACGGCUGACCCAGCAACUGGAAAGAAUGUAUAGCGAUUGCUAAUUGUUUCAUUCCACAAAAAAUGGAAGCAUUCUCGAUAUGAUCGAUUAAAUUCUUGGUAAAAUUAUGAUAAUGACAUUGUUUACUUAUGAGUCUUGACCAAAUUACGUGCCAGCAGUCGCGGUAAUACGUAGAAGACUAGUGUUAUUCAUCUUUAAUAGGUUUAAAGGGUACCUAGACGGCAUAUUAAACCUUAUGUGGAACUGGUAUGCUAGAGUUACUUAUGAGGAAGUUUUAAAGUACUAGAGGUGUAGAGAUAAAAUUCAGUUAUCCUUUUUUCUAAGAAAAAACAUCGGCACAGAUAUAGGUGAAAACAUCUUCUUAUGGGAUAACUGACGUUGAGGGACGAAGGCUUUUUAUAGCGAACAGGAUUAGAUACCCUGGUAGUCAGAGCAGAAAACGAUGAGUGUCAUAGAUUAGAUAAGUAUUUAUUCUAUAAAUGAAAAUGUAAACACUCCACCUCAAGAGUAAUUUGGCAACAUUGGAACUGAAAUCAUUAGACCGUGUCUGAAACCAGUAGUGAAGUAUGUUGUUUAAUUUGAUAAUCCGCAAAAAACCUUACCACAGCUUGAAUAUCUAUUUACUUACUUUUAUUACAUGACUUGUGAGCAAUGUUAUGUAUAACUACGAUUGCUUUUUAUACAAUCGUGUCAAUAGAUGAAAUAAUAUAGGUACAAGUGUUGCACGGCUGUCUUAAGUUAAUGUCGUAAGACUUUGGUUAGCUCCAGUAAAUUAACGCAAACCCUUGCUCUAGUUUUAAGUAGAGUAGUUCUCCACCAUAUUGUAUAAGAUAACAGGGAUCUAUAGCAGUGAGGAAUUUUGUUUU
Molecule: ribosomal RNA, 996 nt
Filed under: Micarea fallax
Lineage: Eukaryota; Fungi; Ascomycota; Lecanoromycetes; Lecanorales; Micareaceae
Description: SSU rRNA
Rfam family: Bacterial small subunit ribosomal RNA
Source: RNAcentral